GGGUGCGGGCGGGCGGUG
This 18-nucleotide microRNA is filed under the name Macrophomina phaseolina MS6. RNAcentral's name for it is "miR-4466". The record is from RNAcentral. Lineage: Eukaryota; Fungi; Ascomycota; Dothideomycetes; Botryosphaeriales; Botryosphaeriaceae.